Molecule: ribosomal RNA, 253 nt
Filed under: uncultured organism
Description: partial 16S ribosomal RNA
Rfam family: Bacterial small subunit ribosomal RNA
Source: RNAcentral
UACGGAGGGUGCAAGCGUUAUCCGGAUUUACUGGGUUUAAAGGGUGCGUAGGCGGGCUUUUAAGUCAGUGGUGAAAUCUCCGGGCUCAACCCGGAAAUUGCCAUUGAUACUAUUAGCCUUGAAUUAAGUUGAGGUGGGCGGAAUGUGUCAUGUAGCGGUGAAAUGCUUAGAUAUGACACAGAACACCGAUUGCGAAGGCAGCUCGCUAAACUUAUAUUGACGCUGAGGCACGAAAGCGUGGGGAUCAAACAGG